AAAGAUAUGACAGCAAGACACUAUAGAAGUAUCCACAAGAAUAAGAAGGCCAAGAAAUGCUUGCUUGUUAGGGAACUGAUCAUGUUAAAGUAUAUGCUGUGACGCCGCCAUCACAGGCUGCAUUUUCCUGGUGCUUCUUGUUUCUUAGAAUGACUUCAUGCUCUUAUCUUUAGUUUCCCUCCCACCAAGGCCACAGCGAGACAGAGAAGUUGAAACCUGUUUCUGCAGGGCUGGACCCAUAAAAGACAACCUGGCCUCUGAUAGGUUAAAGGUAGCCCACUCCUUAAGAAUAAGCAAUAGCCCAGCCCAAAAAUGAUAAAAGGACCUUCCUUUCUUUGUUCUCGUCUUCUCUUCUCUUCCUCUCUUCUUCUUCCUCCUCUCUCUCUGCUCUCUCUCCUCCCACCCCUUGAAUAAAAUCUCCAGCCGGACUUCUCGGUGUGUGUGUGGCCUAGUUGUUGAGUGUCACAGUUCCCUUGCAUUGCUGAAGGAGGGAGCCGCCGAGCUGAACUGUGAAUCUACGAUGUAGGAGGAGGGGCAAUGCUUACAGGAGGAGGAGCCUGCACAUGGAAGCAGGAGGUAGAACAGCUCAUCCGGAAACAGCUAGCACAGCUGGAGUGGAGAGUGGUGACGCUGUUGCUUUCGGGGGCUGGGUGUGGAGGCUGCCUGUCUUGCACGCACCUCAAUGCCACGGGAAAAAGUCAGAGCCCAGAAUCGUCAGAGACCAUUUUCACUGCAAGCCUACCAAGCAGGAAGGCUGAGGACUUCAACAAGAAGAAAUCAAUCAUUAUGGGGGGCUAAUUUUGAUUCUUUUUAAAAAUCUAUUUAGAGACAUGUGGUAAGUUAAGAAAGCAGGAAACCAAAGAACCUGACAUUUUUUGGAACCACAAAUAAAAGCUCCUUUAAAAAGUUAACACGGCAAAGAUGAAUGUGGAUUCUAACACGUCAACACAGCUGUUUCGUGAUUUGGCUCUGCUGGAAGUUGUUAUACUAGAUCAGAGCCAAAAUGGAAACUUAGUUUGAUCUACAGCUCCCACUUUAAGAGCCCUAAAAGGAGACACUGUGUCCUCUGAGCAGACUAGGGCUCAUUUCAUUCAUGUAAUAUAAGACAUGAGACUGAAGAUUAGCUAGAAGACAAAUUUAGCAAGAAUGACCACACCAAAGACCACUUUUCAAAUGCCACCUUUGAAUAUAAUUAAGUUGUAAAAUGUA
This 1209-nucleotide long non-coding RNA is filed under the name Fukomys damarensis (Damara mole-rat). Its description in RNAcentral is "lncRNA (ENSFDAG00000025979.1)". The record is from RNAcentral. Lineage: Eukaryota; Metazoa; Chordata; Mammalia; Rodentia; Bathyergidae.